GAUCAUGGCUCAGGAUGAACGCUAGCUACAGGCUUAAUACAUGCAAGUCGAGGGGCAGCAUGUUGGUUGCUGCAACCAACGAUGGCGACCGGCGCACGGGUGAGUAACGCGUAUCCAACCUACCCUUGUCCAUCGGAUAACCCGUCGAAAGGCGGCCUAACACGAUAUGCGGUUCUCAGCAGGCAUCUAACGAGAACGAAAUAUAAGAGAAGGANGGGAGUGCGU
RNAcentral lists this ribosomal RNA (225 nucleotides) under uncultured bacterium. RNAcentral describes it as "partial 16S ribosomal RNA". It matches the Rfam family "Bacterial small subunit ribosomal RNA", at positions 15 to 236 of the family's 1533-position model. The record is from RNAcentral.